Pelobates cultripes (western spadefoot toad) is the source of this 585-nucleotide non-coding RNA. The record is from the annotation of a GenBank genome assembly. Lineage: Eukaryota; Metazoa; Chordata; Amphibia; Anura; Pelobatidae.
CUGUGUGGAACAUAUACAUUCUCAUUGCUCUGUUAGUAUGGCCUGUGUGGAACAUAUACAUUCUCAUUGCUCUGUUAGUACUAUCUGUGUGGAACAUAUACAUUCUCAUUGCUCUGUUAGUACGGCCUGUGUGGAACAUAUACAUUCUCAUUGCUCUGUUAGUACGGCCUGCGUGUAACAAAUACAUUCUCAUUGCUCUGUUAGUACUAUCUGUGUGUAACAUAUACGUUCUCAUUGCUCUGUUAGUACUAUCUGUGUGGAACAUAUACAUUCUCAUUGCUCUGUUAGUACGGCCUGUGUGUAACAUAUACAUUCUCAUUACUCUGUUAGUACGGCCUGUGUGUAACAUAUACGUUCUCAUUACUCUGUUAGUACGGCCUGUGUGGAACAUAUACAUUCUCAUUGCUCUGUUAGUACGGCCUGUGUGGAACAUAUACAUUCUCAUUGCUCUGUUAGUACGGCCUGUGUGGAACAAAUACAUUCUCAUUGCUCUGUUAGUACAGCCUGUGUGGAACAUAUACAUUCUCAUUGCUCUGUUAGUACUAUCUGUGUGGAACAUAUACAUUCUCAUUACUCUGUUAGUAC